Molecule: non-coding RNA, 691 nt
Organism: Paramuricea clavata
Lineage: Eukaryota; Metazoa; Cnidaria; Anthozoa; Malacalcyonacea; Plexauridae
Source: the annotation of a GenBank genome assembly
GGUUUUUCGAACUCCAGGCCAAUAAAAAUGUCGUAUGAUUUUCUCAUAGGUUUUGUUUAUUCCCAGAUGUCCUGAAAGGGGUGUUUCGUGUGCUAAACGUAAGACUUCUUCACGGUAAGGUUUUGGGAUAACAAUUUGGUAUCGAAUGACAAUAUGGUUAAUUAGGCUAUAUGUUAAAACUUAUCUGUCCGAGUGAGCAUUGCAACUUGAUAUAGCAACAGUUCAUAUUCAUAAUAAAUCAUAGUGACUAUAGUCCAGAAGAUAUCCAUGUUGUUUUCUUUCUACGUUAAUCAGCGCGUUAAAGCAGCUUCGUCUUCAGCCAUGGAAUACUCUUCCUUAAUCCUUCAUCAUUUCUCUAUUCUUAAUCAUAAUGCUAAUAAUCAUAACGUAAUCAAUAAUGUUCACUGAUGCGUGAAGCUACUUUUAUAGUGUUGGUCAGAGGAUGACUUUGCCAUCUUGACGCAUUUCCCAUACGCAAUGCUGCGGUCGUUGGUGCAAAGUUCUCUAACCACACUCAUGUCCGUUGACGUUAUUUGUGGACAAGGCGUUUACUCUAAUCUUUAGAACUAUUUGCUUACUCAUGCAUGUAAGCUAUAAUAUAAUAAUUAAGUAUGAGCUAUAGUAUAAUAUAAUAAUAGUAUAAUAAUAUUUAAUAUAUGUAAAAUUACAUGAUAAUAGCCAUCAUGUAACA